RNAcentral lists this ribosomal RNA (253 nucleotides) under uncultured bacterium. RNAcentral's name for it is "partial 16S ribosomal RNA". It matches the Rfam family "Bacterial small subunit ribosomal RNA", at positions 524 to 776 of the family's 1533-position model. The record is from RNAcentral.
GACGAACCGUGCGAACGUUGUUCGGAAUCACUGGGCUUAAAGGGUGCGUAGGCGGGUGGCCAAGUCAGGGGUGAAAUCCUCCAGCUCAACUGGAGAACAGCUUUUGAUACUGGUCGUCUUGAGGGGGGUAGGGGCAAGUGGAACUUCCGGUGGAGCGGUGAAAUGCGUAGAUAUCGGAAGGAACGCCGGUGGCGAAAGCGGCUUGCUGGACCCUUUCUGACGCUGAGGCACGAAAGCCAGGGGAGCAAACGGG